UUUGCUUAUGUCAUGCAUGACAUCAUCCUCCACCAUUUGCCUAUAAAUACAAAGCCUCCCCCCACCCAUUUUCUUAAAGCUAAGAGCCAAAUAUAUGCUGAGAUUUUGAAGUGAAAAUACUCUCCCAAAGUUUAUUCAAGCACCCACCAUAUUUACUUCAUCUUUAAAACCUUCGAUUCUUCAUAUACUUCGUUAUAUACACAAGGUUUUAAACCCCGAGGCUUCGUACCACCCAACCUAGCCAAAUCUCGCCUAGCUCAUUUUCAUACCACUCUUUUUGUCCUAUGGAAGGGCUCUCCAAAGUUCGUGUGCAAAGCCAAAAUCCGGUCGAACCUCCGACGAAUUUUUCCGGCGAACUUUUUCUCUCUUUGUUUACAAAACGCACGAGUUGGCCACUCGUUAUAUAUUUGUGCGUGUGUUUUGUCCCGGAACCUAACUCGUAUCCUUUGAGAUUUCCUCACCAAACUUUGGAGGGAUCUUUGCCUUGGCACGGAAAGCCGGAUAUAAGGCCAAAGGUAAUAAGUUAGUUAUUGUUGUGCGUGUUAUUUGUGCUUAAAUGUUAUAUCCAUACCCCCAACAUACCCUUUCUCGUUUGGUGAACGUUUCCAUAUGUGCUGUGCUUCGUGGAAAUUCUAACCUUACGAGUUUAGCGGUUCCCGAUCCCGUGUGUGUGAGUGUGAUUAUCGACUGCGUCUUAUAUCUAUAAAUCACUCAACACUAAUUAAUAUAACUCUCGUAGCUUGCCCGUACGUGGCUUGCUCAGGUUAUUAAAAUCAAUCCGAUUUAAAAUCAACUAUUUAUAUUUUCCGCGCGAUAUAUAUUGUUGGACUAAUCACCGUUAGUUUUGUUAUAAUUGACGAACCUUAUACCUGACCGUGAUUAUUGGACUGACUUAGCGGACUAAAAAUCUUAUUAAAACAAGGAUAUAUUUUUGUAGAUAUUGUAUUCUAACUUUUGCAGUGAGGUGAAGUGAAGUGAGGUGAUCUUCGUUCUAAGACCCAAGUCCUUGACGUAUUGACGGGGAGUUAAUAGUCAUUGCACCGUGAAGAAGAGGAAAGACCCGAGAUCUAACACCUAAGACCCGAGACCGGCAAAAGGUGUAGAAGUACAAAGACUACACAAGGUUCUACAUCGACUUUGAGGAAGUAACGGGGAGUUACGUUCCAAGACAAGCUUUGUAGGUGUUUUUACAUUUAUAGUGAGGGGGUAACAGGAAGUUAUGCUCCAAGAUAUAUAUUUGUAAAGGCUUCUCCGCCUACUUUAAAAGAGUAUCUUUAUAGUAGAGAAAAUCUCGAGUCCGGGGAGGAGCUCGGGGACUGGACUAGGGGUGAGUGGACUCCAUCGGUUGAGUUAGCCACCGCGAACCAGGAUAAAAUCCCUCGUGUGGUAUUUUUCUUUCUUUGC
Molecule: long non-coding RNA, 1404 nt
Organism: Daucus carota subsp. sativus
Lineage: Eukaryota; Viridiplantae; Streptophyta; Magnoliopsida; Apiales; Apiaceae
Exons: 2
Source: RefSeq, a predicted model, not a curated record